Molecule: long non-coding RNA, 470 nt
Filed under: Phaseolus vulgaris (common bean)
Lineage: Eukaryota; Viridiplantae; Streptophyta; Magnoliopsida; Fabales; Fabaceae
Description: long non-coding RNA (PVUL_LNC001379)
Source: RNAcentral
UUAUGUCCACGUCUUGGAAACCCAACCUCAAAUCCUUCAAACAUUUACCUUUUUUGGAUCAAACCCUCUCUGUUCCCUCAAACAUUUUUCAAAUUUAUACCCUUCACUUUGUUUUGGAGGAGAAAAUCAAAAUACAUAACUACAUAGCCAUCAUCAUUGAUUCAUUUGUUGUUGUGACUACUUAAAUAUAUUCGUGAUUUGUGUCGAGUGCAGAUCAGAAGGAGGAUGUAACCCCCAUCCUGCAAUGUCAGACAUUGAAAGAGCUUUCUAGCUAUAUUGAAAAUGACACUAGGUCAUACGAUACGACCAAGUCAAAACACCUCAAAUCUUUGUUGUUAAUUACCAAUUUGUCUUCACUAAGAUCAUGUUAAACACACUUAGGUUUAUCAAAUAAUGCAGCACUGUACAUGAACAGUAUAAGAUGACAGCUGAAUGAUUUCAGUUUUGAUGAGAAAUAAAAGUGAAUAUAA